CACAUUCUAUUUGUAGCUUAAGAUUUUAAAAAAAUGAUGAGACUAAAAUUUAUGAUUGCGUUCGCUAUAUCGUCAAAUGUAAUUUGCAUUGCUAGCAGAUAUCAAAACCAAAAAAAUCCAGUCGAUGUAUCAAGAGAGUCAUUUACAGCAGCGCGCAAAACAAUUCUCCAGCUGUGCUCCAAAGAUCCUUUAUGUAAAAGUCAAUAUUUUGAUUCACCUGCAGUACCCAAUGCUUUUCAUUCAACAAAAAGACGUUUAAAAUCUAAAUACCAAAAUAUUCUUACUUAUAGACUUUUAUUGGAUUUAUUUCCUGAAUAAAACACCUCACCAUGUUACCCUAAAUAAUUUUUUUUUUUGAAAAACUUUGUAGAAAUGUUUUUCAUUGAAAAACUAAGCAUUAAUUA
Hydra vulgaris (swiftwater hydra) is the source of this 404-nucleotide long non-coding RNA. RefSeq lists it as uncharacterized. The record is from RefSeq and is a predicted model, not a curated record. Lineage: Eukaryota; Metazoa; Cnidaria; Hydrozoa; Anthoathecata; Hydridae.